CCUACGGGUGGCAGCAGUGAGGAAUAUUGGUCAAUGGGCGCGAGCCUGAACCAGCCAAGUAGCGUGAAGGAUGACUGCCCUACGGGUUGUAAACUUCUUUUAUAAAGGAAUAAAGUGAGGCACGUGUGCCUUUUUGUAUGUACUUUAUGAAUAAGGAUCGGCUAACUCCGUUCCAGCAGCCGCGGUAAUACGGAGGAUUCGAGCGUUAUCCGGAUUUUUUUGGUUUAAAGGGAGCGUAGAUGGGGUGUUAAGUCAGUUGUGAAAGUUUGCGGCUCAACCGUAAAAUUGCAAUUGAUACUGGCAGCCUUGAGGACAGGAGAGGGAGGCGGAAUGUGUGGGGUAGCGGUGAAAUGCUUAGAUAUCACGAAGAACUCCGAGUGCGAAGGCAGCCUACUAAACUGCCACUGACAUUGAUGCACGAAAGUGUGGGUAUCAAACAGGAUUAGAUACCCGAGUAGUC
Molecule: ribosomal RNA, 460 nt
Filed under: uncultured bacterium
Lineage: Bacteria
Description: partial 16S ribosomal RNA
Rfam family: Bacterial small subunit ribosomal RNA
Source: RNAcentral